RNAcentral lists this ribosomal RNA (536 nucleotides) under uncultured Wolbachia sp. RNAcentral describes it as "bacterial SSU rRNA". It matches the Rfam family "Bacterial small subunit ribosomal RNA", at positions 351 to 907 of the family's 1533-position model. The record is from RNAcentral. Lineage: Bacteria; Pseudomonadati; Pseudomonadota; Alphaproteobacteria; Rickettsiales; Anaplasmataceae.
GCAGUGGGGAAUAUUGGACAAUGGGCGAAAGCCUGAUCCAGCCAUGUCGCAUGAGUGAAGAAGGCCUUUGGGUUGUAAAGCUCUUUUAGUGAGGAAGAUAAUGACGGUACUCACAGAAGAAGUCCUGGCUAACUCCGUGCCAGCAGCCGCGGUAAUACGGAGAGGGCUAGCGUUAUUCGGAAUUAUUGGGCGUAAAGGGCGCGUAGGCUGAUUAAUAAGUUAAAAGUGAAAUCCCGAGGCUUAACCUUGGAAUUGCUUUUAAAACUAUUAAUCUAGAGAUUGAAAGAGGAUAGAGGAAUUCCUGAUGUAGAGGUAAAAUUCGUAAAUAUUAGGAGGAACACCAGUGGCGAAGGCGUCUAUCUGGUUCAAAUCUGACGCUGAGGCGCGAAGGCGUGGGGAGCAAACAGGAUUAGAUACCCUGGUAGUCCACGCUGUAAACGAUGAAUGUUAAAUAUGGGAAGUUUACUUUCUGUAUUACAGCUAACGCGUUAAACAUUCCGCCUGGGGACUACGGUCGCAAGAUUAAAACUCAAAUA